RNAcentral lists this ribosomal RNA (253 nucleotides) under uncultured bacterium. RNAcentral describes it as "partial 16S ribosomal RNA". It matches the Rfam family "Bacterial small subunit ribosomal RNA", at positions 524 to 776 of the family's 1533-position model. The record is from RNAcentral.
UACGAAGGGGGCUAGCGUUGUUCGGAAUCACUGGGCGUAAAGCGCACGUAGGCGGCUUGUUAAGUCAGAGGUGAAAGCCUGGAGCUCAACUCCAGAACUGCCUUUGAUACUGGCAAGCUCGAGGAUGGCAGAGGUUGGUGGAACUCCGAGUGUAGAGGUGAAAUUCGUAGAUAUUCGGAAGAACACCAGUGGCGAAGGCGGCCAACUGGCCCAUUACUGACGCUGAGGUGCGAAAGCGUGGGGAGCAAACAGG